Molecule: ribosomal RNA, 778 nt
Filed under: uncultured Neocallimastigales
Lineage: Eukaryota; Fungi; Neocallimastigomycota; Neocallimastigomycetes; Neocallimastigales
Description: partial large subunit ribosomal RNA
Rfam family: Eukaryotic large subunit ribosomal RNA
Source: RNAcentral
AGAGAUGUGUGAUGACGCAUAUCAAUAAGCGGAGGAAAAGAAACUAACAAGGAUUCCCUUAGUAACGGCGAGUGAAGCGGGAAGAGCUCAAAUUUGAAAUCUUCAAGGUUCUACCUUGACGAAUUGUAGUUUAUAGAAGUGUUUUCUGUUAGUAGAGUGGCAAAAGUUCUUUGGAAUAGGACAUCAUAGAGGGUGAGAAUCCCGUAUUUGGUCAUUCUUUCUAGCUUUGUGAUACACUUUCAACGAGUCGGAUUGUUUGGGAAUGCAGUCCAAAAUGGGUGGUAAAUUUCAUCUAAAGCUAAAUAUUGGCGAGAGACCGAUAGCGAACAAGUACCGUGAGGGAAAGAUGAAAAGAACUUUGAAAAGAGAGUUAAACAGUACGUGAAAUUGUCAAAAGGGAAGCGUUUGACACCAGUGUUGUUUAGUUCGAAAAUCAAUUCAAGAAUGUUUUGAUUUUGAGUAAGUUAUUGACUUCAUCAGCUUGCUUCUCUCUUUCUGAAAUUAUUGAAUGCACUUUUCAGGUUAACAAGUCAACAUCAAUUUCUUUUGUUGUAAAAGGGUAUGAGGAAGGUGGCUUUCUUUUCGGAGAAAGUGUUUAUAGCCUUGUACCUCUGCAAUCGGAGAGAUUGAGGUCUGCAGCGUAGAUCCUUCGGGGUUAGAUACAUUUGUGCUAAGUUAUAGCUUUUCAUAGACAACUUGUUGACUAUGUUAAGUCUUGUAGCUUACUCGCUUAUGCUAUUUUACCUACGCUUAGGAUGUUGAAGAUGUAGCACAUCAU